Molecule: transfer-messenger RNA, 357 nt
Filed under: Dehalococcoidia bacterium
Lineage: Bacteria; Bacillati; Chloroflexota; Dehalococcoidia
Rfam family: transfer-messenger RNA
About the family: Bacterial tmRNA, also known as 10Sa RNA or SsrA, is named for its dual tRNA and mRNA-like properties. Its role is to liberate the mRNA from a stalled ribosome. To accomplish this part of the tmRNA is used as a reading frame that ends in a translation stop signal.
Source: RNAcentral
GGGGACGCGUGGCUUCGACAAAGGAGGUUGGCUACAGAAUCGCAAGCCGAGGACGCCAUUGACCUCGUAAAACCAGUGGCAAAAAAUAAACGAGAAACCUGAACUGGUUCUUGCCGCCUAACUAAACAGGCGGCACAUUCACCCCGACCCCACCUCAACGGGUUGGGAGUGGGUGCAGAAAAGUUGAGGUGCUACAGCCUCCAUGCCGGUAAGGGCUGCCACAGAAAAACCGGCUGGUCUGACCGAGACUCCGGCCUCGAGAGGUCGGCCAGACGAGAGCAAAUCGAGACUAAGCUUGUAGCAUAUUCUGGGCGGUCUCUUUUGGACGGGGAGUUCAACUCUCCCCCGUCUCCACCA